UGCAGUCGAGGGGCAGCAUGGGUAGCAAUACCUGAUGGCGACCGGCAAACGGGUGCGGAACACGUACGCAACCUUCCUUCAAGCGGGGAAUAGCCCAGAGAAAUUUGGAUUAAUACCCCAUAAGAAUGUGGACUGGCAUCAGUCAGCAUUUAAAGAUUUAUCACUUGAAGAUGGGCGUGCGUCUGAUUAGAUAGUUGGUGAGGUAACGGCUCACCAAGUCAACGAUCAGUAACUGGCGUGAGAGCGCGAUCAGUCACACGGGCACUGAGACACGGGCCCGACUCCUACGGGAGGCAGCAGUAAGGAAUAUUGGUCAAUGGACGGAAGUCUGAACCAGCCAUGCCGCGUGGAGGAUGAAGGCCCUCUGGGUUGUAAACUUCUUUUAUUUGGGACGAAACACUCUUUUUCUAAGGAGCUUGACGGUACCAGAUGAAUAAGCACCGGCUAACUCCGUGCCAGCAG
Molecule: ribosomal RNA, 462 nt
Filed under: Chitinophaga sp.
Lineage: Bacteria; Pseudomonadati; Bacteroidota; Chitinophagia; Chitinophagales; Chitinophagaceae
Description: bacterial SSU rRNA
Rfam family: Bacterial small subunit ribosomal RNA
Source: RNAcentral